GGCUUAGAGUUUGAUCAUGGCUCAGGAUGAACGCUGGCGGCGCAUUUAAGACAUGCAAGUCGAACGAAAACUUUUCAUCGAAUUGAUAUGACGAUUUAUCUGAAUUGAAGUUCACCGAAAAGUUUUAGUGGCGGACGGGUGAGUAAUACGUAGAUAAUCUGCCUCUUAGAGGGAAAUAACAAGAAGAAAUUUUUGCUAAUGUCCCAUAAGACCACACUGUGGCAUCGCAGAGUGAUCAAAGGAGUAAUCCGCUAAGAGAUGAGUCUACGGCUGAUUAGCCAGUUGGUGGGGUAAUGGCCUACCAAAGCUAUGAUCAGUAGCCGAGCUGAGAGGCUGGCCGGCCACAUUGGGACUGAGACACGGCCCAGACUCCUACGGGAGGCAGCAGUUGGGAAUAUUGGACAAUGGAGGAAACUCUGAUCCAGUGACGCCGCGUGAAGGAAGAAGGUCUUCGGAUUGUAAACUUAUUUUGUCAGGGAAGAAACAAAUGACUGUACCUGAAGAAAAAGCACCGGCUAACUACGUGCCAGCAGCCGCGGUAAUACGUAGGGUGCAAGCGUUAUCCGGAUUUACUGGGUGUAAAGGGCGAGUAGACGGCGAUGCAAGUCAGAUGUGAAAUGCUAGAGCUUAACUUUAGAACUGCAUCUGAAACUGUAUUGCUAGAGUGCAGGAGAGGUAAGCG
Molecule: ribosomal RNA, 682 nt
Filed under: uncultured organism
Description: bacterial SSU rRNA
Rfam family: Bacterial small subunit ribosomal RNA
Source: RNAcentral